Molecule: ribosomal RNA, 275 nt
Filed under: uncultured bacterium
Lineage: Bacteria
Description: partial 16S ribosomal RNA
Rfam family: Bacterial small subunit ribosomal RNA
Source: RNAcentral
GCGUGAGUGAUGAAGGCCCUAGGGUCGUAAAGCUCUUUCGCCGGGGAAGAUAAUGACGGUACCCGGUAAAGAAGUCCCGGCUAACUCCGUGCCAGCAGCCGCGGUAAUACGGAGGGGACUAGCGUUGUUCGGAAUUACUGGGCGUAAAGCGCGCGUAGGCGGACCAUUAAGUCAGGGGUGAAAUCCCGGGGCUCAACCCCGGAACUGCCUCUGAUACUGGCGGUCUUGAGUUCGAGAGAGGUGAGUGGAAUUCCGAGUGUAGAGGUGAAAUUCGU